AACGAACGCUGGCGGCAGGCUUAACACAUGCAAGUCGAACGGGUGCAGCAAUGCAUCAGUGGCAGACGGGUGAGUAACACGUGGGAACCUUCCUAGGGGUACGGAACAACUCAGGGAAACUUGAGCUAAUACCGUAUACGUCCGUGAGGAGAAAGAUUUAUCGCCCUUAGACGGGCCCGCGUCGGAUUAGCUAGUUGGUGGGGUAAAGGCCUACCAAGGCGACGAUCUGUAGCGGGUCUGAGAGGAUGAUCCGCCACACUGGGACUGAGACACGGCCCAGACUCCUACGGGAGGCAGCAGUGGGGAAUAUUGGACAAUGGGGGGAACCCUGAUCCAGCCAUGCCGCGUGUGUGAAGAAGGCCUUAUGGUUGUAAAGCACUUUAAGCGAGGAGGAGGCUCUUUUGGUUAAUACCCAAGAUGAGUGGACGUUACUCGCAGAAUAAGCACCGGCUAACUCUGUGCCAGCAGCCGCCGCGG
RNAcentral lists this ribosomal RNA (477 nucleotides) under uncultured bacterium. RNAcentral's name for it is "partial 16S ribosomal RNA". It matches the Rfam family "Bacterial small subunit ribosomal RNA", at positions 29 to 523 of the family's 1533-position model. The record is from RNAcentral.